AUCUAUGCAUGCUACCUGAACAAGCUGAUCCCGUCUGAAUUCAGAAGCUAAGUAGGGUCGGGCCUGGUUAGUACUUGGAUGAGAGACCGUCUAGGAAGAUCAGGUGCUGUAGGUG
This 115-nucleotide ribosomal RNA is filed under the name Pteropus vampyrus (large flying fox). Lineage: Eukaryota; Metazoa; Chordata; Mammalia; Chiroptera; Pteropodidae. The record is from RNAcentral.